AGGGAGGUGGGCAUACUGUCAA
Molecule: microRNA, 22 nt
Filed under: Hypericum perforatum
Lineage: Eukaryota; Viridiplantae; Streptophyta; Magnoliopsida; Malpighiales; Hypericaceae
Description: Hyp-miR394*
Source: RNAcentral